Molecule: ribosomal RNA, 449 nt
Filed under: uncultured bacterium
Lineage: Bacteria
Description: partial 16S ribosomal RNA
Rfam family: Bacterial small subunit ribosomal RNA
Source: RNAcentral
AACGAACGCUGGCGGCAUGCCUAACACAUGCAAGUCGAACGAGAUCUUCGGGUCUAGUGGCGCACGGAUGCGUAACGCGUGGAAAUCUGCCCUUUGGUUCGGAAUAACAGUUGGAAACGACUGCUAAUACCGGAUGAUGACGAAAGUCCAAAGAUUUAUCGCCAGAGGAUGAGCCCGCGUAGGAUUAGCUAGUUGGUGUGGUAAAGGCGCACCAAGGCGACGAUCCUUAGCUGGUCUGAGAGGAUGAUCAGCCACACUGGGACUGAGACACGGCCCAGACUCCUACGGGAGGCAGCAGUGGGGAAUAUUGGACAAUGGGCGAAAGCCUGAUCCAGCAAUGCCGCGUGAGUGAUGAAGGCCUUAGGGUUGUAAAGCUCUUUUACCCGGGAUGAUAAUGACAGUACCGGGAGAAUAAGCUCCGGCUAACUCCGUGCCAGCAGCCGCCGUAA